GAGUUUGAUCGUGGCUCAGAUUGAACGCUGGCGGCAGGCCUAACACAUGCAAGUCGAGCGGAUGAAGAGAGCUUGCUCUCUGAUUCAGCGGCGGACGGGUGAGUAAUGCCUAGGAAUCUGCCUGGUAGUGGGGGACAACGUUUCGAAAGGAACGCUAAUACCGCAUACGUCCUACGGGAGAAAGCAGGGGACCUUCGGGCCUUGCGCUAUCAGAUGAGCCUAGGUCGGAUUAGCUAGUAGGUGAGGUAAUGGCUCACCUAGGCGACGAUCCGUAACUGGUCUGAGAGGAUGAUCAGUCACACUGGAACUGAGACACGGUCCAGACUCCUACGGGAGGCAGCAGUGGGGAAUAUUGGACAAUGGGCGAAAGCCUGAUCCAGCCAUGCCGCGUGUGUGAAGAAGGUCUUCGGAUUGUAAAGCACUUUAAGUUGGGAGGAAGGGCAGUAAGUUAAUACCUUGCUGUUUUGACGUUACCAACAGAAUAAGCACCGGCUAACUUCGUGCCA
This 506-nucleotide ribosomal RNA is filed under the name uncultured Gammaproteobacteria bacterium. Its description in RNAcentral is "bacterial SSU rRNA". It matches the Rfam family "Bacterial small subunit ribosomal RNA", at positions 9 to 510 of the family's 1533-position model. Lineage: Bacteria; Pseudomonadati; Pseudomonadota; Gammaproteobacteria. The record is from RNAcentral.